UAGCAGCGUAUCUUUGAUUGUCCAUUGUGAGCAUAACUCAAUGAAGCAAUUUUGUAGCGUACGCUUAAAAUUUGACCUUCAUCUCAACAAAUUUAAAUCUCAAACGUAUUGAGGAUUUCGUUUGUUGUAGACUUGUUUUGUGUAAACCUUCAUUUUUCGUUUGCUUCGGGGAAUUACUAAGUUCAGUUUAAUUAAGGUAUAACUGAUGAAUUCCAUCAUGAUGGAUAAACAACAUCUCUAUGAUGUGAAAGAUGACAAAGAGGAUAUUACGUUGGAGACAAAUCGGCCACAACUUGUGGAGACCAAGGCUUCUAUUACGGCCGUCUUGCUCGGCCCAGAAACUUCCACAAUAAAAUGUCCUCAUUGUGGUAGUACUGUGAAGACCAGGGUUCGUUAUACAACU
Molecule: long non-coding RNA, 403 nt
Organism: Pieris napi
Lineage: Eukaryota; Metazoa; Arthropoda; Insecta; Lepidoptera; Pieridae
Exons: 4
Source: RefSeq, a predicted model, not a curated record